UACGAACUGUGCGAACGUUAUUCGGAAUCACUGGGCUUAAAGGGUGCGUAGGCGGCUUUGUAGGUCAGAUGUGAAAGCCCACGGCUCAACCGUGGAAUUGCGUUUGAAACCACAAAGCUUGAGGGAGAUAGAGGAGAGCGGAACUGAUGGUGGAGCGGUGAAAUGCGUUGAUAUCAUCAGGAACACCGGUGGCGAAAGCGGCUCUCUGGAUCUCUUCUGACGCUCAGGCACGAAAGCUAGGGGAGCGAACGGGAUUAGAUACCCCAGUA
Molecule: ribosomal RNA, 269 nt
Filed under: uncultured prokaryote
Description: partial 16S ribosomal RNA
Rfam family: Bacterial small subunit ribosomal RNA
Source: RNAcentral